CACGUAGGGUGCGAGCGUUGUCCGGAAUUAUUGGGCGUAAAGAGCUCGUAGGCGGUUUGUCGCGUCUGCUGUGAAAUCCCGAGGCUCAACCUCGGGCCUGCAGUGGGUACGGGCAGACUGGAGUGCGGUAGGGGAGAAUGGAAUUCCUGGUGUAGCGGUGAAAUGCGCAGAUAUCAGGAGGAACACCGGUGGCGAAGGCGGUGAUCUGGGCCAGUACUGACGCUGAGGAGCGAAAGCGUGGGUAGCAAACAGG
This 253-nucleotide ribosomal RNA is filed under the name uncultured bacterium. RNAcentral's name for it is "partial 16S ribosomal RNA". It matches the Rfam family "Bacterial small subunit ribosomal RNA", at positions 524 to 776 of the family's 1533-position model. The record is from RNAcentral.